RNAcentral lists this ribosomal RNA (301 nucleotides) under uncultured bacterium. RNAcentral's name for it is "bacterial SSU rRNA". It matches the Rfam family "Bacterial small subunit ribosomal RNA", at positions 775 to 1067 of the family's 1533-position model. The record is from RNAcentral.
GGAUUAGAUACCCUGGUAGUCCACGCCGUAAACGAUGUGCACUAGGUUGGGGAGGUUUUGACGCCGUUCCCGGCCGAAGCAAAAGUGUUAAGUGCACCGCCUGGGGAGUACGGUCGCAAGGCUAAAACUCAAAGGAAUUGACGGGAGCUCACACAAGCGGUGGAGCAUGUGGCUUAAUUCGAUGCAACGCGAAGAACCUUAUCCUGGGUUUGACAUGUAUGGAUUAACUCCCUGAAAGGGGAGCCACGCCCUUGUGGUGGAACAUACACAGGUGCUGCAUGGCCGUCGUCAGCUCGUGCCG